AUUGAACGCUGGCGGCAUGCUUUACACAUGCAAGUCGAACGGCAGCGCGGGCUUCGGCCUGGCGGCGAGUGGCGAACGGGUGAGUAAUGCAUCUGAACGUGCCCAGUAGUGGGGGAUAGCCCGGCGAAAGCCGGAUUAAUACCGCAUACGACCUGAGGGUGAAAGCGGGGGACCGAAAGGCCUCGCGCUCUUGGAGCGGCCGAUGUCGGAUUAGCUAGUUGGUGGGGUAAAGGCUUACCAAGGCGACGAUCCGUAGCUGGUCUGAGGGGACGACCAGCCACCCUGGGACUGAGACAUGGCCCAGACUCCUACGGGAGGCAGCAGUGGGGAAUUUUGGACAAUGGGGGCAACCCUGAUCCAGCCAUGCCGCGUGCGGGAAGAAGGCCUUCGGGUUGUAAACCGCUUUUGUUCGGGAAGAAAUCCUCUGGGCUAAUACCCCGGGGGGAUGACGGUACCGGAAGAAUAAGCACCGGCUAACUACGUG
RNAcentral lists this ribosomal RNA (484 nucleotides) under uncultured bacterium. Its description in RNAcentral is "partial 16S ribosomal RNA". It matches the Rfam family "Bacterial small subunit ribosomal RNA", at positions 28 to 507 of the family's 1533-position model. The record is from RNAcentral.